ACUAAAUAGAUACCCAGGUAGUCCACGCCGUAAACGUUGGGCGCUAGGUGUGGGGCUCUUUCCACGAGUUCCGUGCCGCAGCAAAAACGCAUUAAGCGCCCCGCCUGGGGAGUACGGCCGCAAGGCUAAAACUCAAAGGAAUUGACGGGGGCCCGGCACAAGCGGCGGAGCAUGCGGAUUAAAUUCGAUGCAACGCGAAGAACCUUACCAAGGCUUGACAUACGCAGAAAACCGGCAGAGAUGUCGGGUCCGUAAGGGCUGUGUACAGGUGGUGCAUGGUUGUCGUCAGCUCGUGUCGUGAGAUGUUGGGUUAAGUCCCGCAACGAGCGCAACCCUCGUUCCAUGUUGCCAGCACGUAAUGGUGGGGACUCAUGGGAGACUGCCGGGGUCAACUCGGAGGAAGGUGGGGAUGACGUCAAAUCAUCAUGCCCCUUAUGUCUUGGGCUUCACGCAUGCUACAAUGGCCAGUACAAAGGGCUGCGAGACCGUAAGGUGGAGCGAAUCCCAAAAAGCUGGUCUCAGUUCGGAUCGGGGUCUGCAAC
RNAcentral lists this ribosomal RNA (542 nucleotides) under uncultured bacterium. Its description in RNAcentral is "bacterial SSU rRNA". It matches the Rfam family "Bacterial small subunit ribosomal RNA", at positions 772 to 1311 of the family's 1533-position model. The record is from RNAcentral.